GACGUAGGGGACGAGCGUUGUCCGGAUUCAUUGGGCGUAAAGCGCGCGUAGGCGGCCACGCAAGUCGGGUGUGAAAUCCCGGAGCUCAACUCCGGAACUGCACUCGAAACUGCGCGGCUUGAGGUAGGUAGGGGAGAUCGGAAUUCCUGGUGUAGCGGUGGAAUGCGCAGAUAUCAGGAGGAACACCGGUGGCGAAGGCGGAUCUCUGGGCCUUACCUGACGCUGAGGUGCGAAAGCGUGGGGAGCAAACAGG
This 253-nucleotide ribosomal RNA is filed under the name uncultured bacterium. RNAcentral describes it as "partial 16S ribosomal RNA". It matches the Rfam family "Bacterial small subunit ribosomal RNA", at positions 524 to 776 of the family's 1533-position model. The record is from RNAcentral.